GGUUAUGGCUCAGUGGUAGAGCACUUGCUUAGCAUGUGUGAGCCACUGGGUUCGAUUCUCAGCACCA
RNAcentral lists this transfer RNA (67 nucleotides) under Marmota monax (woodchuck). Its description in RNAcentral is "tRNA.Ala". Lineage: Eukaryota; Metazoa; Chordata; Mammalia; Rodentia; Sciuridae. The record is from RNAcentral.